Long non-coding RNA from Silurus meridionalis, 628 nucleotides. RefSeq lists it as uncharacterized. The transcript has 3 exons. Lineage: Eukaryota; Metazoa; Chordata; Actinopteri; Siluriformes; Siluridae. The record is from RefSeq and is a predicted model, not a curated record.
UUAACUCGACUAUCACUAGUGUUGACUAUAUUCAUUCCCUCUCACUUUAUCACAUCUCUGUAUCUUAACUCUAUCUGCUAUUAUAAGCACUAUGCUGGCUGUGUGUCUGCCUUUGAGCACAGGUAAGAACUCGUUCGAUGCCCAGCUGUGAGAGCGGAAAGCGACGCUGGAAACAUCCCGGGCAGACGCUCACUCGUCCCAGGUAAAUUCCCGGGUUGAAUCUAACGCUCCCAGCACCUCAACUCCGCGUGUUUCUCUGCUCAGGUCCAGCGCACCUACAACACGGCCCGCCCAGGUAUCGUUCACUCCGGCACCGGUGCACCACGGACCCUGGAUGCUGCAGCAGCGGAAGACACGAGCCAAGCCCCGGUCGAAGACAUCUCCCCCGCUUCGCCACUCUCUGCAAAACGGAACGUCAUACUGUGAUUCUUGGAGAUUCCAUCGUCCGGCAUGUCCGCGCUACCGGAGACAAAGUAUUGGGUGACCUACGUUCCUGUGGUGGUGAACAUGACUGCGAGUUCUCCAGAAGAACAAAUGCUGCCUGACUUUAAAAUCCCACCCCUGUCUGGCCUGCACUUCCUCCCUCACUCUGCCCUGUCUUUCCCUCCUGCAUUGCCUGAGUUUCUCU